GUUUCUAUAAGCAUUGAUUUUGGAUGAUUUGGAGUUGUUUUGACUUUGUAAGAGCUUUGCAAAGUCAAGGUUUGUUGUAGAUGACUUGGGUUUUAUGAAAUAAAAUAGGGUUUACGUUUUGGGUGAUUUCAAAAGUUUUGUAUUAGAUCUUUAGGUGAAAUUUUGUGGGUUUAUGGUUAUAGUUGUGCUCAAUAUUUAUUGUGAAUUUGAGCUCGAUCUAACAAUUAAAUUGAGAAAUAUUGAGGUUCAAGUGGGUCAAGGUCUUAGAAAGUAGAAUUUUAGAUCUAGUGGAGGUUUUUAAGAUUUCUUGCAAUCUACUAGUUAGAUUAGAGUGAAACUUGCAUAAGAAGAUAUUAGACUUAUUUUUCUAUAUGCAUGAGAAUUUUGAAAUCAAUCGAACGGUGCAAAGAAGAGAUAUUGGCUCUAGAAAAUUAGCAUCAAGAUUGGAGGAGGAGGGCGGCCAAUACCCGAGCAUAUUUUUGAAGUUAUCAUUAAUUUGGUAACUCCGAUCCUUUUCAAUUUUUUUGUGUUUGUUUCUAACUUAUUUUUUUAAAAUUAUGCAAAAUUUGAGUUAAGAUCAACGGUUUAUUUAUUAGUUAUUAAGGUUUAAAUCUAUUAUAAGAAUUAUUAGGAUUUGGUUUAGGGUUUGGUUGGGAUUUAUUUAGGAUUUAGGGUUUGGUUAGGAUUUGGAUUAGGAUUUGAUUAGGGUUUGAUUACGGUUUGAUUUAGGAUUUAGGAUUUGGAUUAGGAUUUGGUUAGGAUUUGAUUUAGGAUUUGAAGUAGGAUUUAGGAUUUGGUUAAGAUUUGGUUUAGGAUUUGGUUGUGGUUUGAUUUAAGGUUUAUUUAGGGUCUGAUUUAGGGUUUAGAAUUUUAUUAGGAUUUAAGAUUCAAUUAGUUUUGGCCUAAAUUUUGAAUGAAUUUCAAUAGGAUUUUAAUUAAAAUUAAAUUAAGAUUGAAUUGAGAUGUAUUUGAGUGAUAUUUGUGAUCCUUUUAAUAUUUUUUUAAGAAUUUUUAUUAUUUGUUUGAAAUUUCUUUGAGGUUUUUUUGAAUUUGAUUAAGCUUGCUUAGCAUUAUUAUGGUCUAAUUAUAGUAUUUUUAAUAUUCUAUUAGAAUUAGGAUUUUGUUAUUGCAAUUUCCAUUCUUCCUUCUCCAACUAGGUGCCCGGAGCAUUUUCAAGCAAGACUUCAUGUAUUACGACAUUGUGUAGUUGAAAUCUUAUGCAAUAUUUAAUAAAGUUCCUAUCUUCUCUUUAGAUCAUUCAUCUUGUUUUAUA
RNAcentral lists this long non-coding RNA (1273 nucleotides) under Physcomitrium patens. Its description in RNAcentral is "long non-coding RNA (PPAT_LNC003584)". The record is from RNAcentral. Lineage: Eukaryota; Viridiplantae; Streptophyta; Bryopsida; Funariales; Funariaceae.